Peromyscus maniculatus bairdii (prairie deer mouse) is the source of this 882-nucleotide non-coding RNA. Lineage: Eukaryota; Metazoa; Chordata; Mammalia; Rodentia; Cricetidae. The record is from RefSeq and is a predicted model, not a curated record.
CUGAUCUGUGACUGCGAAGUGGGGACUGGAGACAUCUAGAUGGCCAAGUCGGCUUACCUCAAGCCUGCGACAGGGUCUUCAAGCUGAGCUGGGCCCCAACACAGGCGAAGAUCCUAUGUUCUUUUCUGGGCUGCCUGUGUGAAUUGAAGACCACUGAAUCUUCAGUACUCCAGACCUUCAGCACCACAUUGGUCCUACUGAGGCAGCCAGCCUUGUGGACUGAGCAACUACAGAACUGUUGGUCUCUCCUGUGUUUGACAGACUGUUGUAUUGCCCAGAAGUUUGGACUGCCUAACAUAUACUGAAGAUCUUCCAGACAUUUUGGAUUUCUACAUCUAUCUUGAAGAGACACCAGCUCAUUUGACAGAGGCCACACAUGUGAUUUGGGCUAAGGUGAAAACAUCAUUAUCUCGGGAACCUCAGACUUUCUGGAAAGUUAUGAGGAAAUAAGGCUUGAGUCACCUUUCUGCUGCGAAGAGGACUGUCAAGGACAGCAGGAGUAUAUUUAGAGUUUGGAGCAGCUGAACCCUAUACCGCUAAGAGGUGGAAGAUAGCAUUUUGAUGGCAUCACAGUAUACGGAGAGAUUGGCCUCCAUCAAUACCACCCCACUUAAAGGCGGUGCCUACAAGACACAACCACAGAACUGGGGAAAACACAUGCUAAUGACCUCUGUGAUGGUUGUAGUACAUACAGUAUGUGGUAUUGAUAGACAUGCUGGAAUGGCCAAUUGUAUCAAGAAUUAAUCUGUGAGAUACAACCUUCUUCUAGCAGAAAACAAAAAGAGAAAUGAACACACCAAAAAUAUAUAUACAAUUGCACAUGGAUCGAUAUACAUUUAUAUGACUUAGUCUCCAUAUAUAUUAAAGAUAAUUCCCUACCGA